AGCGAACGCUGGCGGCAGGCCUAACACAUGCAAGUCGAACGAACCUUUCGGGGUUAGUGGCGGACGGGUGAGUAACACGUGGGAACGUGCCUUUAGGUUCGGAAUAACUCAGGGAAACUUGUGCUAAUACCGAAUGUGCCCUUCGGGGGAAAGAUUAAUCGCCUUUAGAGCGGCCCGCGUCUGAUUAGCUAGUUGGUUGAGGUAAUGGCUCACCAAGGCGACGAUCAGUAGCUGGUCUGAGAGGAUGAUCAGCCACAUUGGGACUGAGACGCGGCCCAAACUCCUACGGGAGGCAGCAGUGGGGAAUCUUGCGCAAUGGGCGAAAGCCUGACGCAGCCAUGCCGCGUGAAUGAUGAAGUUCUUAGGAUUGUAAAAUUCUUUCACCGGGGACGAUAAUGACGGUACCCAGAGAAGAAGCCCCGGCUAACUUCGUG
RNAcentral lists this ribosomal RNA (434 nucleotides) under uncultured bacterium. RNAcentral's name for it is "partial 16S ribosomal RNA". It matches the Rfam family "Bacterial small subunit ribosomal RNA", at positions 29 to 507 of the family's 1533-position model. The record is from RNAcentral.